AUUGAACGCUGGCGGCAUGCUUUACACAUGCAAGUCGAACGGUAACAGCACUUCGGUGGCUGACGAGUGGCGCACGGGUGCGUAAUACAUCGGAACGUGCCCAGUAGUGGGGGAUAACUACUCGAAAGAGUAGCUCAUACCGCAUGAGAUCUAAGGAUGAAAGCAGGGGACCUUCGGGCCUUGCGCUACUAUUGCGGCUGAUGGCAGAUUAGGUAGUUGGUGGGAUAAAAGCUUACCAAGCCGACGAUCUGUAGCUGGUCUGAGAGGACGACCAGCCACACUGGGACUGAGACACGGCCCAGACUCCUACGGGAGGCAGCAGUGGGGAAUUUUGGACAAUGGGCGCAAGCCUGAUCCAGCAAUGCCGCGUGCAGGAUGAAGGCCUUCGGGUUGUAAACUGCUUUUGUACGGAACGAAAAGCCCUCUUCUAAUACAGGAGGGUCAUGACGGUACCGUAAGAAUAAGCACCGGCUAACUACGUG
RNAcentral lists this ribosomal RNA (482 nucleotides) under uncultured bacterium. Its description in RNAcentral is "partial 16S ribosomal RNA". It matches the Rfam family "Bacterial small subunit ribosomal RNA", at positions 30 to 507 of the family's 1533-position model. The record is from RNAcentral.